AAGAGCCAAGGUCUUUACGAGCAGAGAGAACAGAUUGAGCUUCUAGAAGUAAGGAGAGAUGUGGGAUGUUUACAUUUUGCUGAACGAAGAAAAGAAUGGGCCAACUGUCCUUUGUAUUAAAAAAAUGACAUACUUUGGACCCAAUAGCUGUCUUCUUUUAGUUUUUCUUCAGUAGUCAGGGUGGAUUUGUACUGAGCCAUCCUCAUAAUCUUACUUAAGCCAAAGUCUCCCUUAGUGUGGUGACUCACUGAACUGAGGUUAGGACUUAGUCAGUGGCCUGAGCUAGAGCAGCAGCUAUAGCUGCUUAAACAGUUUUUCUCUGUAUAUGUCAACCUUCUACAUUAGCUUUGUUAAUAUUGGUUUCUAACCAAACAAACUGUCUGUCCCAGCUCAAAUGACACAGUGUUGUUUGCAAAUUUUUAUUCGUAGAUACCUAAACAUAUAUUAAGAGGCAUAUUGGUACAAUUAUUCAAUGCACAUGGCCACACCCAUGUGUGUCUGUGUGUGUGUGUGUGUGUGUGUGUGUGUGUGUGUAUGUGUGUAUGGUUUAUGUGUUCAUUGGUACAAUGCUUAGUGCCACUCAUGAUGUUAGUAGAAUCGUUAGCUAUGGAAGGGAAUUAGCUAAGUAUAUCCAUUCUAUCAUGUGGCUUUUCCAUCCAUCUACAAGGGCCUCUGAGUCUUCUAACAGAUCAUCUGGCCUCUGCUGGCAAUUAUGGGAAGAAAGAAUGGAGGAUACAUGGGAGGAUUUUGUGGUUCAGGGCUAGAAGUAGUUCAUGUUAAUUCUACCCACAUUUCAAUGUCCAGACUAUCACACUGCAAGUAAGUGUCUUAGAAAUAUAGUGGAGCUUGUUUUAUUAAAGGAAAGGAAACAGAUUUUGGUGAACACAUUGCAGUCUCUGCCAUGCCAGUUUGUCUGAAAAUGGAGUUUGGAAUUUUUUUUGUUUCAUUUUUAUUUUAUAUGAUUUCUAAAAGGAGAAAUAGCAAGAUAUUGAAAUAAUGUUUCCUCGAUGUACAUAUUAAAAGCCUAUAGAAUAAUGGAUAACAGAAUGAACUUUGAUGUCAGAAAGACUUAGAUUCAAGUUCCAGUCCUUGUACCUCUAGCUGUGUGACUUUAAGCCAGUUGUGUAAUGGGGGCCUCAAAAUGUUGUUGUGAAGAGUCAAUGAAAACGUUAGUGUAAACUUCUUUAUCUUGGAGCUGGCAGUAUUAUGAUUAGUAAUAAUAGUAGCAGCAUAUUGGCAAGCAAAACAUAGAUUGGUCCGUGAGGAGUCAGAGGCAUGAGAAGUAGAUACAGUUAAGACCCAUGUGGGCUGAGAUAUGCAAGGGCACGUUCAGAUUAGCAAUUACAGAGGAUAAUGGCUUUCAGUAAACCUUUAGGAUAUUGGCCAGUAUAGUAGGUUUUCUUUUAGCCUUGGGGGUGGUGUAGUUAUCUCAUGCAAUCUUGUUUAGGCCUUACUGUUGAGCUUUAAGUUCUAGAAAAUCUCUAGAAUUGCUGCUGUUUGAUGCUGGGCCCUGUCUCUACCUAUGCCACUCCAUGAGAUCUCUCUGGGCAGUAAUAUUUUCAAUUCAACGUUUUUUUCCUACCUGAUCAAUACGUAUCAAGUCACAUACUAUUAACUAUCAUACCAUCAUACCGUAUCCCUUCCCUUCUCAACCUCUGUCCAUGGAGUCAUAUCUCCAAGAAACCUGUCUUAAUUAGUUCCAUGCUUAUUCUUCUUUCUCAUUGGCUCAUAAAAUAUUGUUCAGUUGACUUUGUAAUUAUAUAUUUUUCAGCUCUUUGAGAGGGUCAGUAAACUUUUGUCUUGCAUUUAUGUGUUUGGACAAUAAUUAGAUGGUCAGAUUCUGAGAAGUAUGGACAAAAAAGCUUUCCAUAUUUUCUUCAUGUCCCCUCUAAAGUACCUAAAAUUGACUUUUCACACAGCAGUCAUUCAGGGAAAGUUGAAUGAUUAACUGCCAUUUCGUUAUAUCCCUAGUGUACUGCCAGAUUCUUCAAGUAAAGCUGCAAAAACAGUCCUUGUACUUUCUGCUGCCUCUCUAGAGAAGGGAGAACUGAUAACAGCUGAGAGUUUGCUGGAGAAUUUCUCAGGCCCCUAGAAAAUAGUGCCUGUUUUGAACACAUGGCUGAAUAGUGCUUUGGAAGAUGGACAGAUUUUUGGGGGGUACCAGAGGGCUUUGCAAAUGAGCAACAUUGUAUAUGUGUGACGUCACUGUCUGGGCCAGGAUCCACAAGGGGUCAUAGGAAAUAUUGAGAAUUGGCUUCCAUAGCAGUAAACCAAUUCUGUUCUGCUUGAGUUGUUCUAAGAAAUAGAGCAAUAGGACUUGGCAUUCGUGUAAGUGGAAGGAUUUGAAAGCCACGAGGCAGUAAGUGAUUGAGGUUAAAGCCAUUAGAGGAAUGGUGUUUAACACAUUGUUAAUUGGGUAAUGGGGAAGAAGGUAACUGGGCAGUCCAGAGAGACACAAUGCUUUGAACAGAAGGAAGGAAUUUGGCCUGCACUAAGUUGUGUGGUAAAAAGCUGUAUAUUUCUCUUUUGUGCAAUGCAUCAUCUCUCACUAAAUAGAUUGACAAGUAGUCAUCUUGGAUCUAUUCAGGCCAGCAGAGCAGUAGAGAGGUUCUUGGAGAAGUGUCACUGUAGAUAAAAGAGAAACCCUAUGUAUUGUCCUUUGCAAACUAAGUUGCCAUUCUUUACCACUGUAACUGCCAUUCAGCAGACAUUUACUGAGGAAAUGCUGAUUCUAUACUAUGCUCUGUUUGAGGUGAUGAGAAUUCAGCAGUGAAAAAAGGCAGUGGCUUCUGACCCCUAAAAAGAAGACACAUAAAUGGCUGACCACCACAUAUCACAGUAUGAGAUGUUUCUCUUGAAGGGAGGAGAGUUUGUGGCACUAAGAGGGAUCUCCGUACCAUGCUAUUAUAUGUAGACCCACUCUGACAGGUGGAGCCUCAGAGUAUACACGUUGGACAUUGCAUUCCACAAUCCUGCCAAUAAGUCAAAAGUGGCCGUCAGCCUAACACUUGGGCCCUGUAGAAGAAACUUCUGUCCAAAGCUACCCUAUAGUUGGCUGCCUGGCUUCAGAGCUUUUUUUGAACUUGGAAGACUUCAAGCCCCAACUGAGGAAUCCUUGAUGCUCUGUUGUUUUGUCUUGCUAAAAUGUACAAGAAACUUGCACAGCUCUGUCCUUCAGGCUUAAAAUCAUCCCAGGGAGGUCACUCUAAUUCCUUUUAAUGUGUGCUGAAGAAAGGGCAGCACAGCUGAAGCCUGAUUUAAAAUCUGAUCUUCUCCCUAAUGUCACAAGGACAUCCUGAGACAAUGGCUGAGGAGCUAUGCACCAGUACCCAGCUGGAUCCCUGAUACUUACAUUGGCAGAUGCAUUAUCAACAGAGACAUCGAUUUAGAGUGAAUUAAAGGAAUUACAAAGAUCAAGAUGAAUUCAGUGAAGCUUCCCAUAGGACUGUUCAAAGAUCUCCAGGCCUGCCAUUCAUGCAUUCAUGUGAGAGAGACACUUUGGGCCUAAGAAAUGAAGGCCAAUUCAUGUGGAGUCAGUCCUCUUAUAACCACAGUAGGAUAGAACUUGUUUCUGAGACCUUCAGAAGGACUAAGCCCUAGGCAAACAGCCCCAGUGAAGUCAGCUCUAAGGACAUAUUGAGGUAAGAACUAGGGAAAAUUCAUGUUUUAUUUCCCUAUUGCUUUUAAAAUCCAAUUUAAAAUGUAUUACCUAUCAAGAGAGAAUUCUCUAUAAUUUCGUGAAAAUGAUUUAUAUGGCUCCGGAUAUGUAUUUUUUUGUCCCCCUUUUCCCCUCCCAUUUACUCCUUCAGCCACAGGUAAAUACUUUUUGCCAUGACCUCUCUCUCUGUGAAAUCAAACUAAUAUGCUAACUUUUGUUUGCUUUUCUUGUGCAACACUGCUGAUGAGAAACAUUUUGUCCUCCUUCGUCUAUUUCUGUUAUAUUAUUUUAAGACCUGUCAUUAUAAUAAAAAAUAUCUUAAUGCUGAUAAUGACAUUGAUGAUGGUUAUGAUGACUUCAAGCUCUGCCCUAGACAAUUAACUCCAUAAAGGCAGGAACUGUAUCUAUCUUCUUUAGCAUUUCAUAAGGCAAACCCAACAGUGUCCCUGACUUGCAGCAAGUACUCAAGAAAAAUAUUUGUUAAAUGAAUGAAAAUGCUAGCAGAGACCAUUGGCUGAAAGUUUGCUAAUAUAAUCUUUAUAUUUUAUAAUCUUUGUAUUUUAUAUUUUUACAACCAUCUUUGGAAACAGGUAUUUAUUAUGCCGAUUUUGCAAAUGAGAACACUAUCUUCAAUGGAAGGAUAACCACAUCUACAUUUGAAGUGUAGUUAGAGGGAUGCUCCUCAAGCUUUAAUAUAUAUUUGAAUCACCUGAGGAAUCUUAAUAAAAUGCAAAUUCCUAUUCAGUAGUUCUGAGUUGAGGCCCAAGUUUCUGCAUUUCUUACAAGCUCCCAGGUGAUGCCCACACGGCUGUUCUGAGUGAGCCAGCACUCUGAGUAGCAACAUUCCCUUAGAAUUACCUGCAGAUGAGUAUGUAAAAUUCAAAUUAUUGGUCUACACAGAUAUACUAAAUCAUAAUCAUAGUUCGGGAAAUGAGAAUCAGCUACCUACAGUACAAGCAAUCUGGUAAUUAUUAUGAAAAUUAAAUGAGUAAAGUGUGUGUUAAGUGCUUUAUAAACCAAAAGUAGUAUGUAAAUAUUAGAAUAACAUUUUUAUUUUAUAAUUGUUACUAUUAUUAUUGUUUGAUGGUGACACAAAUUUGAUUUCUGUACCACUCCAAGCA
Long non-coding RNA from Homo sapiens (human), 4779 nucleotides. NCBI's taxonomy places the organism in Eukaryota, Metazoa, Chordata, Mammalia, Primates, Hominidae. The record is from Ensembl.